AGAUCAGUACGCUGGUCGUGCCUUUGGUAUGCACUGGUGUCACUGGUUUCUCCCUUCUGAAGAACUGUCAAGCCAUUCAGUUGGUGUGGCGGGGAAUCAGGACUGUUACUUUGAAAAAUUAGAAGUGUUUAAAGCAGGCUCGCGCUUGAAUACAUUAGCAUGGAAUAAUGAAAUAGGACGUUUGACCCUAUUUUGUUGGUUUCUAGGAUCGACGUAAUGAUUAAUAGGGAUGAGUUGGGC
RNAcentral lists this ribosomal RNA (240 nucleotides) under uncultured Glomeromycotina. RNAcentral's name for it is "partial 18S ribosomal RNA". The stretch from base 92 to 240 matches the Rfam family "Eukaryotic small subunit ribosomal RNA", at positions 738 to 888 of the family's 1831-position model. The record is from RNAcentral. Lineage: Eukaryota; Fungi; Glomeromycota.